This 956-nucleotide long non-coding RNA is filed under the name Equus caballus (horse). RNAcentral describes it as "lncRNA (ENSECAG00000052924.1)". Lineage: Eukaryota; Metazoa; Chordata; Mammalia; Perissodactyla; Equidae. The record is from RNAcentral.
CGCCAGGCAGCAACGGGGUGGGGGGUGGGGACCCGAGGUCCGUGGAGCCAAACGGGAUCGGGGGGCGGGGACCUGGUUCUGCCGGGCCGUGUCUGGGAUAGGGUGUGGAGAAGAUUCUGGGUUCUGGGACGGGGACGGAGAAGAGAACAGGGGCUCUUCCGCGAGGAUGCGUAUUUGGGACCAGAAGAGCGUCGGCAGCACGCGGUCCUCGCUAGGACCAUGGUCCGCGCCAAAGCCUCUAGUGUGAGGCCAGCGGGGAGCUGCACGUGGGCCUGAAACCAGGAAACUCAAUAAAUUCAGUAAACACCAAGGAAUAUAAAAUAUCACCCCAAAUUUCAUCACCCUGAAAUAACUAUUACUGCCAUUAAGAACUCCACUACAGACAUUUUUCCUGACAACUACUGAAGUAUUUACAAGUGAAGUGAUUAUGUUGGGGAUUUGCUUUUUAAAAUUUCACAAGGAAAAAAAUGAAUGCCAGGGUUGCCAAGAGAGACACAACUCACGUAGGCACUGGAUGGAACAACACUUUACUCACAUAGGGAAGAAACAGCAAGAUCAGCUUCAGUAGUGGGCAUUGGUCCCCCAUGGCUUAAGAAGAGUUUAAACGCAAAUGAGAAAUCAAGAAAGACUGAAGAAUCUGGGUUUUUUUCCUGAUUAUAAAAUAUUUAAAAUGUAUAUCAAAGUGCAGAGAAUAACAUUUUUAAAAACCCAUAUACUCAUCCCUCCAAAUCUAUCUAAUCCUAAUAUUUUGCUAUAUUUGCUUCCAAUUUUUGAAGGAAAUAGAUAAUAGUGGAGGCUCUCUUUUAUUCCACAUCUCUUUCCUCUUCCUGGUGCCCACAGAAUUGCUUAUCCUUGAAGCUCAAUAUCUCAGUCAGGUUAUAUCACAGUAUUGAUCCAUCAAGUGUCAUUUUUCCUGGUACAUGGUAUAUCCUUUCUUUUGUAGAUUGUUUUCCUUC